UUUCUUUGAAGUUUACUAAUGUUUGUUCAAAAAUGUGCUCAAGCAUAAUUAAAAUAUGCUAACAAUUGCUUUAAAUAUGCUGAGCUCUGGGAAAUGUGUUUACCACAAUGUCGUCAGGAGUGAAUAUCACAAUUUUGAAAAAGUGAAUCACAUAAUAAUUAAGAAUUUAUCAUUAAUUAAUAACACACUCAUAAGUCGUUGCUCUCUGACAAGUAUUAACCCACACAUAUGUAACAACUUAAAAAGAAAAAGUAUUCACACAGGAUGCAAGUUUGAUUCAACAUAUAAAAAAUAUUUUCAUUUACUUAAAGAUUAUAUUGAUGAAAAGAAAAACCAAAAUGAUUAUGAUGUGAACGACAAAAAAGAAUACUACCAUGUGGACGAUAAUAGUACUAGUAACGACUGUGGUUAUACUUAUAAUGGUGGUAACACUGGUAGUAAUAACAACAAGAUUCGAAUUUAUAAAAAAAACAAUAUAGACUACGUAUUAAUAAAUUUUAAUUUGUAUAAAUGUUUAAAAAAUAUUUUUAGUUUAAUAAACGAAAUAAAUUGGUCACUAAUUCGAGAUAUAUCAUUACAAAACAAAAAUAAAAAAUCACUUAAAAUUGUACAAAAUAAUGUUCAUAUAAAUGAUAAUAUUUAUUUGUUUUAUGUACAAGUGGUGAGAAACAUAUACCCAAAUGAUAACGUAUCAGAUGUUUGUGCAAAUGAAGACAUACAGAACAAAAUAAAAAAUUGUUUGGAAAGCCAAAAUUUUAAUAAAUUACUAAUAUCUAUUAAAAACUUAGAAUUUUAUACCCUAUCAUCUUUUUUUUAUAUAUACAAAAAAAUUAUAAAAAAUUGUCAUAACUCAGAUAACCAUUUGGAAAAUAUUUUUUUUUUUAAAAAAAUUGAUGAUUUUGUUUUAAAAAAUUUAUGUAUACAUAUACAUAAUAAUAUUAUUAGAAAUAAUACAAAGAGUGUCAAUGAAAAAAAAGAAAAAGAUUAUAUGUUACAAAAAAGCAACUCGAAUAGUAAAAUAAAUUAUAUUCGUAUGUAUAGAGAAAAUUUAAAUAUAUUAAAAAUUUUAAGUGAGGAAAAAUAUAUAUACAUUGAUUUUAUUGAUUUUAUAUUAUAUACUCAAUUUUAUGCAUUUUUUAAACAUAGUGAUUACUGCAAUUAUUUUUAUUCAAUUAGUUUACUUCAAAUAAUAAAUGAAAUUAUUUUUUUUCAAUUACAUUUUUUUCAUACUUCCUAUGAAAGUGAAAAAGAAAAAAAAGCACAAAAUUACGACGCCGUGCUCACUUUAUUAGAUAACAACUAUUUAUACACACAAAAAGAAAAUCAUACUUAUAAUUAUAUUGAAAAGAGUUAUGAAGACAUAGAGAGGGGUGUCCACUUUUUUACUAAAAAUUUAGACAGUGUGGUUCAAAACAUAAGUGAUGAUAAUGGCGUUAGUAGUAUAAACAGUAUGAAUAACACAAAUUGUGAUAAAUUAACGGAACAACAGUUUGCUCACAUGCACUCUCACUCAAUUGAAGCUAAUAACUCUAGCAAACAAAAUAAACCAAACACAAACACGUUUUAUAAUAUUAUAAACUUAACAAAUAUGGAGUAUGAAAAUAUACAAACAACUAUGGAAC
This is a long non-coding RNA of Piliocolobus tephrosceles (Ugandan red Colobus), 1622 nucleotides long. Lineage: Eukaryota; Metazoa; Chordata; Mammalia; Primates; Cercopithecidae. The record is from Ensembl.